Molecule: long non-coding RNA, 1719 nt
Organism: Herpailurus yagouaroundi (jaguarundi)
Lineage: Eukaryota; Metazoa; Chordata; Mammalia; Carnivora; Felidae
Exons: 3
Source: RefSeq, a predicted model, not a curated record
GGGGACGCUCCGCGCGGCGCUGCCUUCCCGGGCGGCGGUCCGCGGCUCAGGACCGGGAGGCCGCGCGGACCCACGGGCGCUCCGAGGACGGGCGCGGAGUUCUUUCUGGGAGAGCACUUUAUAAACUGCUGGGUCUUCUGGGUAUGGCUUUCCACGGGUGGAGCAAAGCCCAUUUUCACCAGGCAAAGUGGAUGACAACAGAGUCUGCAAGUCUGGCAGCCACAGGUGCCCCGGGAGGACCUUGAUAUCGUCUGUCCCCAGGGCUCCGUGCGACGAGGACAUUCCGCAGGGCACCCUUCAUGUCAGGACCGUGAGACAUCGUCCUGCUUAUUAAACACCAGCAAAGAUUUCUGAUAAUUCAAGAGUGCGGGAAGUCCAGCACUGAGAACUAAGUUGUGGGACUUCACAGACCCGCCUGUCUGGCCCCACUUUGCCCUCUCCAGGCUGCACGCACUGCCACCCUCUCUGGUGCCUGUGGAGCGGGUGUCCAGGAAGCUUCAGACCGGCUGGAGGGCUUCGGCCAGAGGAGACACGCCCUUGGUUCUCAGCGGGCUCGGCAGCCAGACAGGCCAGCAUCGUGUAUUCGGAUGGCCCUGUGCAUGGGUUGGAGCUCGCCAAGGAUCUCGGGGGCUAUGUCCGCAGACGUCUAUGCUUCCGCUUUCUGUGGCCCCUCACCAGUGCCCGGCCACCCCAUCCAGCCAUCUUAAGAACCUCAGCGAGGAUUUCCUCUGCCCAGUGACACUGCGGUCUCCUUCCCAGGCCCUCUCCCCCCACACCAGGAAGCUGCUGUGAAGGUGGGACUCACUUCCCGUGCUUCCUCUCUCACCAGGAUUGCAGCCUUGUAUUGGAUGUGUCCCACGGCCUUAAAGAGCUGUUUUUCCUAUUUUGUCCAGUCACCCACCGGCUUCCCCAUCAUGGCCAAACUGGACUUUCCUCUGCUACCUCCUCCUGACUUUCAGAUCCAGAUAAAAUGCAUUUCUCCAGUUUCCUUUCUUAUUCUGAAUGCAAAAUUAAUCUUUCAGUGCUUCAUUUAUAAAAUGCAUCCCAUCACACAUCAUUAUGUGACUUGUCUUCUAGACUGAGGGCUCCCUGAGGGGAAUGGCUGAGUCCGACCACUGCUCAGUGACCACCCCAGCACGGCCCCGGCACACCACGCGUGGCCCGUUAGCGUGAGCCGUGCUGCACGCAGCUGACCUGAGAGGAGCCCAGGGCAGGUGUCCUGCUUGCAGGGCACGGCCAACGGGCAGGCGGAACGUGCCUCCGGAAAGCCUUCUGCCCUGUGGCCUCUGUCAUGUGACUGCGGUGGACCUAACCACGUUUCUUAACAAGAGCGGCUGCUGGAUGAGCUGUGGAUUUGUGCAAGUUUGCAUCUGAAGACUGUCCAGACCCUCCUCUGCGCUGCCCUCUUGAGGCGUCACUUGGCGAACGUACAGAUUUCUCAGGGCAAAGGGCUGCCGAAAAGUGACCAGAAGUGCUGGCCAAGCUAGAAAACAGGGUAUCCUGUGAAGGCAGGGUGCGUGGCGUUUCGGUACGGCCACACCCCGCGGUGGGUGAGGGCCACCAGAGAGGUGUGGCGCCAUCACACGUGGAACCGUACCCCCUCGAACAGAUACGGUAAAGUCCUAGCCUCCAGAACCUCAGAACGUGGCCUUAUUUGGAAACAGGGUCAUCGCAAGCGUGGUCUGUGAAGGUAAGAAGGGAGCGUGUUGGAGUGGGGGU